CUAUGUAGCAAGGUUAAGUACUUAAGGUAUGGAGCCGAAGGGAAACCGAGUCUGAAAAGGGCGAAAAGUUGCAUGGUGUAGACCCGAAACCGGGUGACCUAUCCAUGGCCAGGUUGAAGCGAGAGGAAAAUCUCGUGGAGGACCGAACCACGUUGGUGUUGAAAAACCAUGGGAUGAGCUGUGGAUAGCGGAGAAAUUCCAAUCGAACUCGGAGAUAGCUGGUUCUCCUCGAAAUAGCUUUAGGGCUAGCGUC
Molecule: ribosomal RNA, 253 nt
Filed under: Clostridium botulinum
Lineage: Bacteria; Bacillati; Bacillota; Clostridia; Eubacteriales; Clostridiaceae
Description: partial 23S ribosomal RNA
Rfam family: Bacterial large subunit ribosomal RNA
Source: RNAcentral